RNAcentral lists this long non-coding RNA (2430 nucleotides) under Xyrichtys novacula (pearly razorfish). Lineage: Eukaryota; Metazoa; Chordata; Actinopteri; Labriformes; Labridae. The record is from RNAcentral.
UGAAAUUAAGUGAAUAUAAAAGUGUAAAAUAAGUGAUUGCGGAUGGAUUAAGAGUUUAGAGGAAUAAACUGCUUUUAGAUGGUGAGAAAAUUUUGGUUUGUUUGAAAUUAUGUAAUUAAUAACGCCCCGUGGGAGUGGUCACAGGGUUCAAAAGAGGGUCACCUGAAGCUAUCGGUCGCCAGCAAACUGAGAGGAAGCAACACCUUCGUCCAGAGCACAGGUAAGGACUCAGUUGGUGAUCGUGACAUGAAGCCUCUUGAAUCAUUAUUUCCAUGCAUUUGCUUUACUCUGGUCUGAAACUUCAUUUGCUCAACUGUGCCAUCGUGGACAAUAAAUGUAAAAUAGGCAGAGUGAUUAUCAGAGACACCCCCUUUGGUGUGCGAAUCUCUGAAUUGAAUAAAUGAAUGAAUGAAUGUGACGCCAUGUGUUUGAGAUAUCGAUACAGAAAUUAUUAAGUUAUUGAUAUUUUGUCUGUCUUUACGACACAGUAGCAGGGUGAAAAGGGGAACAGGACAUAAAUAGUAAUGGAGACAGUUGUGAUGUGAAUGUGCUUGUGUGUAACUUGGUUUGUGACUGUGCGUUUGUUACGGGGACAGCAUCGAACACGUUAAUAUUUCAUUCAUUUUCAUUAAAAAACAACUUUUCGACAAGUCUUCGGACUUUUAGCGGUACUCCGUCGCGUUUCGCUGCCCGUUAGAUUUUAAAUCACCCGCCAAAACCGCGAGCCGGUUCCUGAAUCAGUCACGUGGUACGACCGGUGUUCUGCCGUAGAUUGCACCCCUGCCGUAAAAUGCACCCCCUGACGGAAGCGCGGUUGAAAGUACAGAACAAUGCGAAAUAAUCCAAGUUUUCCCUACCAUUGGAUGAAUUAAAAAGUGUAUGCCUUUAAUGAUUUUGUUCAGGUUGUCCAGAUAAGCCGAAAACAACAGCCCUCUGAUUGGGAAUAUUUGCUGUCCCGGAAAUAUAAUGUUCUCUACCUUAACAGCUUACUGUACAGUUUAUAUACCCAAGUACACCUCUCUAUGUGCAUUUUUUAGACACAUAAAAACAGAGGGAAAGUUUGCUGCUCCAUUUGACAUGUUGUCAUGAUCUAAUACUCGUGUUUUGUUUUAAAUAUAAGAUCAUUUUCUCCCACUUUAAGAAGCUAAUGAGUGGAGGGGAUGCAUUCCACGGCAUAACACCGGCUCGCGAGGCUUCAAACGUUAUCACAUACGUCAUCAACUCAAGCUUCGAUAUGCGCUUCGCCGAAAUUUACUCGAAAAAUUCGACUCAUAUGGUUGUUUUUUUUUUUGUUUUGUUUGUUUUUUUCCUUAAAUUGAGCCAAAAGGAUGCAAAGCUUUAAAAGCUUAAUGAUUGAUUUUUAUAUUGAUGAAUCUACAGGCAUAUACAAUCUCUACUGAGCUAGUGUUUGAACAAAAUGGUCUUAGGCACGCUUUCAUAUUUAAAAUGCUUUUAUUUUCAUGGGAUUAUCAUACAAGCCUGACGUGUUAAAGCACUAACAAAGUUAAACACAAGACUUUUUCCUGUAAAUUUCCACUCUGGCAUCAAGUUGUAGCUUGCAGAGGGUGUGUGUAUGUACACUAAAUGUCCAGCAGAUGGGGUUAUUCAGGCCACUGGGCCUUAAAAUCCUCUGACAGCUACCCUAAACAUGAAUCCAUGACACCUACAAAAACAUUUAAGUGUUUUACUUUAAUGAAUAAGUUUGUUUUAAGGUUUACAUGAUGGUGCCAUGAAUAUAAUGUUCAGAAGACUGCAUUUGGCCUUAUUCUUAUUUUUCUGACUGUAUUAAAAGACGAUAAGAUCUCAAAGCCCAGUGUGAAAAAGCAAAACUGCUUAUUCAGAUCUGUCUUAGUGUACCCUGAGUCUGCAGUAGAAAGUGCUGUUGUUGGUGUGUACUAACUGUGCUUCUGUGUUUGUUUGUUUUUUUUCCAGCAUGUUCCUCAGACCCCAGCUGACUUCAUGUCCUCUCAGAUGACUCCACUCCACUGAGGCCAAAGGUGAGACUGAGGCAGGGAUGCAACUUUAUAAGCCUAGAAAGAAAAGAAAGAUGAGGCUUGAAAAUGGUCUGAUUUGGAGCAUGGCUGCCAACCAUCAUGCAAACAUGAGCUGUUUAAAAUGACUGGUAACACUUUACAAUAACCAUAACUUAUAAAUGGUAAAUUGACCAUUUAUGAAUGGUAAGCAGAUAGUUUAUUAAUAUUUAAAUCAUUUAUAAAUAGCAUAUAAGCCAUAAAUAAAUUGAUGGUUGUGUAUUUCUCUGUGUGUUAACCAGGAGCUGAAAUUACGCCAGGUUUGAUGGUUGUGUAUUUCUCUGUGUGUUAACCAGGAGCUGAAAUUACGCCAGAUCAGGUCAAACUGAGGCAGAACUCAUGACCGGCCUACACCUGGACCCUGUAAGGUAAGACAUUGACUACUUCACUCCACGGACAG